This is a long non-coding RNA of Mustela erminea (ermine), 765 nucleotides long. RefSeq lists it as uncharacterized. The transcript is spliced from 4 exons. The record is from RefSeq and is a predicted model, not a curated record. NCBI's taxonomy places the organism in Eukaryota, Metazoa, Chordata, Mammalia, Carnivora, Mustelidae.
UUGGCAAGAUACUGAGCCAGACUUGCUUGUUUGCCUGUAACUUUUCUCUCUCUGCUGUUUCCCCCUCUAGAGUGACACAGGAUAAGUAGGCCUCCAAGAUUUGCAAAGAGCUGUCAUCAUCCCCAAGCCCUCUUGGUGCCACAGUGAGCAGCCCUUCUUCCUCCAGCUUGUUUGUGGUAGAUGGGCUUUCCCGCACCGUCGGAACAGUGCCCUCUCCUCUGCAGCGUCUUCUCGAGCCUGGGUGCCUGCAUCGUGACUCUUGAUGAUGGUCCAGGGAGGAAGCUGAGGUGCCCAGGUAAAGCUGCAUCCCAAAGGGUGACUUGAAUACGGAUGGUAGUGCCAGUGAGGAAGCUGGAGUUGGAUACAUAAGAUCCAGAGGAGAACUCUGAGAUGGAACCACUAGAGAAAAGGGGAUGCCAUUCUUGAGUCACUGCAUUAGACUUCCAUCCGCAUUCCCAGCUGGACUAUGAUUUGGUGAUGGCUUCAUCAGAAUUGAGUGUUGCCUGGAGAAUGACUCCUCUUCCUCUGCUACCCACUGGCGGGUUCUGGUGAAGGCUACACUCAUUCCUUUGACUCUCUGCAUGGCAGAAAAGGGGAGGAAGACCACUACGAGCUAGAACUGAGGUACUAGAUACCGUGUUGGGCUCCAACCUGAUGCUAUAAUAAGCAUUGGGGAGAUUGGGGGUGGGGGUUGCUGGAGUAGUUGAUACAACGUGUUUCCUCAAGACCUCACCAUUACCUCUUUUGUCUGAAGACAACCGCAGC